UCUCCGUUGGUGAACCAGCGGAGGGAUCAUUACCGAGUUUACAACUCCCAAACCCAAUGUGAACGUUACCAAACUGUUGCCUCGGCGGGGUCACGCCCCGGGUGCGUCGCAGCCCCGGAACCAGGCGCCCGCCGGAGGAACCAACCAAACUCUUUCUGUAGUCCCCUCGCGGACGUUAUUUCUUACAGCUCUGAGCAAAAAUUCAAAACGAAUCGAAACUUUCAACAACGGAUCUCUUGGUUCUG
Molecule: unclassified non-coding RNA, 245 nt
Filed under: plant metagenome
Description: partial contains small subunit ribosomal RNA, internal transcribed spacer 1, and 5.8S ribosomal RNA
Source: RNAcentral